Molecule: ribosomal RNA, 463 nt
Filed under: Gemella morbillorum
Lineage: Bacteria; Bacillati; Bacillota; Bacilli; Caryophanales; Gemellaceae
Description: bacterial SSU rRNA
Rfam family: Bacterial small subunit ribosomal RNA
Source: RNAcentral
GACGAACGCUGGCGGCGUGCCUAAUACAUGCAAGUCGAGCGAAGUUUUUCUGGUGCUUGCACUAGAAAAACUUAGCGGCGAACGGGUGAGUAACACGUAAAGAACCUGCCUCAUAGACUGGGACAACUAUUGGAAACGAUAGCUAAUACCGGAUAACAGUAUUUCUCGCAUGAGAGAUAUUUAAAAGUUGGUUAUGCUAACACUAUGAGAUGGCUUUGCGGUGCAUUAGCUAGUUGGUGGGGUAAAGGCCCACCAAGGCGACGAUGCAUAGCCGACCUGAGAGGGUGAUCGGCCACACUGGGACUGAGACACGGCCCAAACUCCUACGGGAGGCAGCAGUAGGGAAUCUUCCGCAAUGGGCGAAAGCCUGACGGAGCAACGCCGCGUGAGUGAAGAAGGAUUUCGGUUCGUAAAGCUCUGUUGUUAGGGAAGAAUGGAUAUGUAGUAACUAUACAUGUACGAG